Ornithorhynchus anatinus (platypus) is the source of this 1160-nucleotide long non-coding RNA. RefSeq lists it as uncharacterized. The record is from RefSeq and is a predicted model, not a curated record. Lineage: Eukaryota; Metazoa; Chordata; Mammalia; Monotremata; Ornithorhynchidae. The transcript is spliced from 4 exons.
CCAAGUGCUUAGUACAGUAUUCCUCACAUUGUACGUACUCUAAUAAAGCACCACUGCUAGAUCCAAUGAUUGAGAGGGAGGUUUUCAGCUUGGAGGGGAACCCAGUUGGCUACAUCAGAAAAUCUGGAAUGAAAAGCAGCUGAGAGACCUAUUAAUGGAGAGGGAUUAUCUGCGUGAGAGAAGGGGUGAGAAGAUAAUUUGAUUGGUGUUUGUUGCAACGGAGCCUGGGGAGCCAAGCCCCAGAGAGAAGAACUCCGCAUCCCGCUAAGCAGCAGACCAAAUGUUAAACAGUAUGUUCACCCAUCCUGGCCCCCUUCAAUCUGGUCUCUUUCGAGGCAACAAGAGCCCGUGUCCAAAGCUGACUCUUCUCACCUGGAAAAACAGAGUGCUCUAAACCAUGAAGACUUCUGACUCAGAAAUCACGUCGUCCUAAGAUAAGCGAAUGCAAGGCAAGCUAAAACAAGCCUUGCCUUUGCUUCCUCAUGUCACUAAGAGAAGGUGAAACACAGUGCAGCCUCGUGGAAAGCGCACCGGCCUGGUAAUCAGACGACCUGGGUUCUAAUCCUGGCUCCGCCACCUCUCUGCUCCGUGUAUCCUUGGCUCACCACAAAACAGCUGUUUGGGGUGUCGUGCUGGCAUUCAUUCCCCUCACUCAAAUCCUAGGGGAGCUGUGUUGAGAUAAAUAUUCAGAGAAGCAUCUAGAGGGCUAAUGCCCAUCUGGGUAGUGGAACGAACCAUGAUGAUCUCUGCCAAAAGCCGCAAGAUACUUAAAUCCCUGAGGCAAUCUGGGGAUUGGACAUGGGCACUUGGUGUCUAUCCAGGGCCUACAGUUCUGCCCGGGGAGGAAAUAUUCCAAGCAGCCCGAUCGGCCCCUUCCCAAAGCAAUCAAUGACUUCUGAUAUCUAGUGGCCCUAAACAGGGCCUAUCACAACGGUAACAUCCUACUGCCCAAGCAGUUUCAGCGGUAUCACCUCCGAACCAUUCUUAACGUCAAAAGGAGAGGCAGGGUCACAAGCAACGAGAUCCUUGAAGGCAGCCGGUUUACCAGCACUAAAGCAAAAAGCACUGAAACCAACUUUGGUGAGGAGGAUAUGUGAAGAGAAGGGAAUCCAGGAAGAAAACGAACAGCUGGUGGAUGGUAAACGCAAAUAAAUAAAAUA